Molecule: ribosomal RNA, 253 nt
Filed under: uncultured bacterium
Lineage: Bacteria
Description: partial 16S ribosomal RNA
Rfam family: Bacterial small subunit ribosomal RNA
Source: RNAcentral
UACGUAGGGUGCGAGCGUUGUCCGGAAUUACUGGGCGUAAAGAGCUCGUAGGCGGUCUGUCGCGUCUGCUGUGAAAACUCGGGGCUUAACCCCGGGCCUGCAGUGGGUACGGGCAGACUAGAGUGCGGUAGGGGAGACUGGAAUUCCUGGUGUAGCGGUGAAAUGCGCAGAUAUCAGGAGGAACACCGGUGGUGUAGACGGCUAUCUGGACCGUAACUGACGCUGAGGCACGAAAGCGUGGGUAGCAAACAGG